UAGCAAGUCGCGACAACGGACACCACUCCACUCUCCGGGCUCCACCACUCUCUGGCAAGUCGCGACAACGGACACCACUCCACUCUCCGUAACAAACUCCACGUGGCCCUAAACGGUCCCUGACGCCACUACUCUCCGUAACAAACUCCACGUGGUUCUGAACGGCCCACUACCAGGCGGUUACAGACAUCGCUGUCAAUCAGUUACACUCUCCGUCUAUAAAAAGGAACC
This 231-nucleotide long non-coding RNA is filed under the name Elaeis guineensis (African oil palm). Its description in RNAcentral is "long non-coding RNA (EGUI_LNC003839)". The record is from RNAcentral. Lineage: Eukaryota; Viridiplantae; Streptophyta; Magnoliopsida; Arecales; Arecaceae.